This 830-nucleotide small RNA is filed under the name Pongo abelii (Sumatran orangutan). RNAcentral's name for it is "retained intron". Lineage: Eukaryota; Metazoa; Chordata; Mammalia; Primates; Hominidae. The record is from RNAcentral.
CACCCAGAAAGAAAGAGCCCAUACUUUCAAUCUUAGGCAUAAGUUAGCUUGAUAAGAUUUUCAGAAAAAUUCCCUUUUAACCACAGAACACCCCCACUGGAAAGGAUUCUGAAAGAAAUGAAGUCAGACCUCAGAAAUGAAGUUGACUGCCUGCUGGCUUUCUGUUGACUGGCCCGGAGCUGUACUGCAAGACCCUUGUGAGCUUCCCUAGUCUAAGAAUAGGAUGUCUGCUGAGGUCAUCCAUCAGGUUGAAGAAGCACUUGACACAGAUGAGAAGGAGAUGCUGCUCUUUUUGUGCCGGGAUGUUGCUAUAGAUGUGGUUCCACCUAAUGUCAGGGACCUUCUGGAUAUUUUACGUGAAAGAGGUAAGCUGUCUGUCGGGGACUUGGCUGAACUGCUCUACAGAGUGAGGCGAUUUGAUCUGCUCAAACGUAUCUUGAAGAUGGACAGAAAAGCUGUGGAGACCCACCUGCUCAGGAACCCUCACCUUGUUUCGGACUAUAGAGUGCUGAUGGCAGAGAUUGGUGAGGAUUUGGAUAAAUCUGAUGUGUCCUCAUUAAUUUUCCUCAUGAAGGAUUACAUGGGCCGAGGCAAGAUAAGCAAGGAGAAGAGUUUCUUGGACCUUGUGGUUGAGUUGGAGAAACUAAAUCUGGUUGCCCCAGAUCAACUGGAUUUAUUAGAAAAAUGCCUAAAGAACAUCCACAGAAUAGACCUGAAGACAAAAAUCCAGAAGUACAAGCAGUCUGGUGGAUGGAAUGGAACCCAGAUGACCAAAGCCUCCUUUAGCUUGUGGCUAGAAAUCACGUCCCUUUAUAUUCUUCAUAUCCCAG